GGUUAAGCGACUAAGCGUACACGGUGGAUGCCCUGGCAGUCAGAGGCGAUGAAGGACGUGCUAAUCUGCGAUAAGCGUCGGUAAGGUGAUAUGAACCGUUAUAACCGGCGAUUUCCGAAUGGGGAAACCCAGUGUGAUUCGUCACACUAUCAUUAACUGAAUCCAUAGGUUAAUGAGGCGAACCGGGGGAACUGAAACAUCUAAGUACCCCGAGGAAAAGAAAUCAACCGAGAUUCCCCCAGUAGCGGCGAGCGAACGGGGAGCAGCCCAGAGCCUGAAUCAGUGUGUGUGUUAGUGGAAGCGUCUGGAAAGGCGCGCGAUACAGGGUGACAGCCCCGUACACAAAAAUGCACAUGCUGUGAGCUCGAUGAGUAGGGCGGGACACGUGGUAUCCUGUCUGAAUAUGGGGGGACCAUCCUCCAAGGCUAAAUACUCCUGACUGACCGAUAGUGAACCAGUACCGUGAGGGAAAGGCGAAAAGAACCCCGGCGAGGGGAGUGAAAAAGAACCUGAAACCGUGUACGUACAAGCAGUGGGAGCACGCUUAGGCGUGUGACUGCGUACCUUUUGUAUAAUGGGUCAGCGACUUAUAUUCUGUAGCAAGGUUAACCGAAUAGGGGAGCCGAAGGGAAACCGAGUCUUAACUGGGCGUUAAGUUGCAGGGUAUAGACCCGAAACCCGGUGAUCUAGCCAUGGGCAGGUUGAAGGUUGGGUAACACUAACUGGAGGACCGAACCGACUAAUGUUGAAAAAUUAGCGGAUGACUUGUGGCUGGGGGUGAAAGGCCAAUCAAACCGGGAGAUAGCUGGUUCUCCCCGAAAGCUAUUUAGGUAGCGCCUCGUGAAUUCAUCUCCGGGGGUAGAGCACUGUUUCGGCAAGGGGGUCAUCCCGACUUACCAACCCGAUGCAAACUGCGAAUACCGGAGAAUGUUAUCACGGGAGACACACGGCGGGUGCUAACGUCCGUCGUGAAGAGGGAAACAACCCAGACCGCCAGCUAAGGUCCCAAAGUCAUGGUUAAGUGGGAAACGAUGUGGGAAGGCCCAGACAGCCAGGAUGUUGGCUUAGAAGCAGCCAUCAUUUAAAGAAAGCGUAAUAGCUCACUGGUCGAGUCGGCCUGCGCGGAAGAUGUAACGGGGCUAAACCAUGCACCGAAGCUGCGGCAGCGACGCUUAUGCGUUGUUGGGUAGGGGAGCGUUCUGUAAGCCUGUGAAGGUGUGCUGUGAGGCAUGCUGGAGGUAUCAGAAGUGCGAAUGCUGACAUAAGUAACGAUAAAGCGGGUGAAAAGCCCGCUCGCCGGAAGACCAAGGGUUCCUGUCCAACGUUAAUCGGGGCAGGGUGAGUCGACCCCUAAGGCGAGGCCGAAAGGCGUAGUCGAUGGGAAACAGGUUAAUAUUCCUGUACUUGGUGUUACUGCGAAGGGGGGACGGAGAAGGCUAUGUUGGCCGGGCGACGGUUGUCCCGGUUUAAGCGUGUAGGCUGGUUUUCCAGGCAAAUCCGGAAAAUCAAGGCUGAGGCGUGAUGACGAGGCACUACGGUGCUGAAGCAACAAAUGCCCUGCUUCCAGGAAAAGCCUCUAAGCAUCAGGUAACAUCAAAUCGUACCCCAAACCGACACAGGUGGUCAGGUAGAGAAUACCAAGGCGCUUGAGAGAACUCGGGUGAAGGAACUAGGCAAAAUGGUGCCGUAACUUCGGGAGAAGGCACGCUGAUAUGUAGGUGAAGUCCCUCGCGGAUGGAGCUGAAAUCAGUCGAAGAUACCAGCUGGCUGCAACUGUUUAUUAAAAACACAGCACUGUGCAAACACGAAAGUGGACGUAUACGGUGUGACGCCUGCCCGGUGCCGGAAGGUUAAUUGAUGGGGUCAGCGCAAGCGAAGCUCUUGAUCGAAGCCCCGGUAAACGGCGGCCGUAACUAUAACGGUCCUAAGGUAGCGAAAUUCCUUGUCGGGUAAGUUCCGACCUGCACGAAUGGCGUAAUGAUGGCCAGGCUGUCUCCACCCGAGACUCAGUGAAAUUGAACUCGCUGUGAAGAUGCAGUGUACCCGCGGCAAGACGGAAAGACCCCGUGAACCUUUACUAUAGCUUGACACUGAACAUUGAGCCUUGAUGUGUAGGAUAGGUGGGAGGCUUUGAAGUGUGGACGCCAGUCUGCAUGGAGCCGACCUUGAAAUACCACCCUUUAAUGUUUGAUGUUCUAACGUUGACCCGUAAUCCGGGUUGCGGACAGUGUCUGGUGGGUAGUUUGACUGGGGCGGUCUCCUCCUAAAGAGUAACGGAGGAGCACGAAGGUUGGCUAAUCCUGGUCGGACAUCAGGAGGUUAGUGCAAUGGCAUAAGCCAGCUUGACUGCGAGCGUGACGGCGCGAGCAGGUGCGAAAGCAGGUCAUAGUGAUCCGGUGGUUCUGAAUGGAAGGGCCAUCGCUCAACGGAUAAAAGGUACUCCGGGGAUAACAGGCUGAUACCGCCCAAGAGUUCAUAUCGACGGCGGUGUUUGGCACCUCGAUGUCGGCUCAUCACAUCCUGGGGCUGAAGUAGGUCCCAAGGGUAUGGCUGUUCGCCAUUUAAAGUGGUACGCGAGCUGGGUUUAGAACGUCGUGAGACAGUUCGGUCCCUAUCUGCCGUGGGCGCUGGAGAACUGAGGGGGGCUGCUCCUAGUACGAGAGGACCGGAGUGGACGCAUCACUGGUGUUCGGGUUGUCAUGCCAAUGGCACUGCCCGGUAGCUAAAUGCGGAAGAGAUAAGUGCUGAAAGCAUCUAAGCACGAAACUUGCCCCGAGAUGAGUUCUCCCUGACUCCUUGAGAGUCCUGAAGGAACGUUGAAGACGACGACGUUGAUAGGCCGGGUGUGUAAGCGCAGCGAUGCGUUGAGCUAACCGGUACUAAUGAACCGUGAGGCUUAACCUU
RNAcentral lists this ribosomal RNA (2904 nucleotides) under Escherichia coli. RNAcentral's name for it is "23S ribosomal RNA". It matches the Rfam family "Bacterial large subunit ribosomal RNA". The record is from RNAcentral. Lineage: Bacteria; Pseudomonadati; Pseudomonadota; Gammaproteobacteria; Enterobacterales; Enterobacteriaceae.